GUUGUUGGCUGCUCGUGUGGGCUCCACUCGGGUCAGAUAGGAGUGUGAUUGUGGUUGUGCCUCUGGAUCGGGGAUGCACAAACAGGACGCGCUUGGCCAAAGCAACAGAGGCCGAGAUAUUUAAUGCAAAUACUCACUAAAAAAACACAACAAGAGAGCAGAGAAGGCGGAGAAGCAACAAUAUUGUCCAAAAGCUAAUUACCAAACAAACGAAACUCGAUUGAAUCGAUUGAUUUUCCAUUCGUGUCCAGAUAAGCAACCAUUGCCCCGAUAAAGAUUUGUUAUCACUGAAAACAGAGGCGCAAUCGCAGUCACCCAUCCGCCCCACCCCUUUGCCACCAUGCGCAGUGGCGAGUCGACGGUGAUUGGAUUGUCGAGAGCUCCAUUGGCGAGUGGGAGGAGCUGCCCCUUCUGGUGAACCCCCAAUUGGUGGCCCCGAUGAGGGCCCCUCUCCGCUGGGGGUGGUGGGGCGGAUCGGCUCCCCAUUUGUGUGUGCUGAAGGAGCGCAGCCAUAUGCCAAAAAAUAUACAAAAAAACGUAGGAAAACACAGGAAAACUCCGAGCGAUAACACACAUUCCAGAGCCAUGUUCUGGGCGGAGCCAACCGUUUGGGACCUCGCCGUGCAAAUCAAGAUGUCCUGCGACCAUGGCCGACAGAAAACCACAUCAUACCAAUGCCAAUAAAAGCUCCAUUAGAGUUUUGCAACAGCGACCUCAACGCGUUUGGCUGCGGGUAAAGGUAAACGUUGUGCAAUAAGCGAUUUUAUUACCCAUCCAAUGGAAUAUUUUACCACCAUCGAGUGAGACUGUCAAAGUUCUCAAAGGAAGAGGCUGGAACAAAACGAUACAAAGAUGCCAGGUAUACGUGUCUUUCCGGAGGCAGAGCCUCGGAGUUGCUCCCCCGGGUAUUCGAGUGCGACAUAAUGAAUUACCUUUAUUGACAAGUUAAUGUUUAUAGGUGUACUGAGCCCCGAGCCGCAUAAGGAUGUUGUCAGGUUAAGCGUAGUUAAUGGCAGGUGGAUAGGCUGUUGAUGACGAUGAUCACGAUGGUGUCCCCAAGCGAUUCCCAUCGAUGUACUCUGUAUUUUUUGUGGAAUAAUUUAGUGGGCACAAAACACGAAGGAGCUGGAAACAAGACGCUGGGUACUUCGCAAUCAAUUGAAAUCAACGGCAACGGCGAUGUCCUGAUGAAUUAUUUAAGGACCAAUGUCAGAGUCGGCAAUCAAUUGGCGUUGACAUCGCGGUUGCCCCGCCCCCUAUAUCUUCUCCCGCCCCCCAAAAAGUGGGGGUUACUCUCAGGGAGACAGUAUUGGCAUUUUGUUACUGGCGUCUUGAUUAAUGGAAAAUAAGUUUAUAAUUAGCAGACAAAUGACUUUAAUUGGCCCCAUGGGGUGAGAGAAUCAUUUUAUUUUUUCUAUGGUUUCUUUCUAUGGUUAAGGGAUAAAGAUUCGGUUCAGACUCUAUUAGGAAGAUACCCAGAAAGUGAAGUCAAUUCAGUGGCGGAAAAUUGAAAAGGUAUAGCUCGGGGCCAGGACCGAGAACUUCUUUUCAUCAAAGUUUACAUCAAAGACGUUGAACUUCCUCGGAAAAUUGAGGGUGUGGUCUUUUCGCGUCUUCGGAGGCGGAGUUUCGAUGAAUUGCGGAUGAGAUGGUGGCGCUUCCUUGAGUGGUGGCAGAUACCUUGAAAUUCCUUUUCGCAUAAAUGUUUUCAGUACUUAGUAUUUACCUUGACUUGAUGGCGUUUCAAUAGUCUAGUUAAAAGAGCUAUAUUCCUGUGGUCCGCGUUAGGGCAUUAAAUUAAUUAACCCUUUCGGUUUGCGUGUUCAGCGGUUACGCUUCGUGAUUCUUCCCACCUCAUUCCUUUAGAAUGGAAAAGGUUCUGGUCAAGCGCCUGUUUGCUCAGCUCGGACAAAACGUAUUGCAUAUUUCUGGAAAAACGCACCGCGGGAAGUUGAGCGCCUGUACAGUGAAAAUAAAUGUUUAAGUUCGAAAAUUUUCGGAGUUACAUAAAAAUAAGUAUUACACAUUUCCGAAAUAGUGUAGUCUUUUGGAUAUAGAACCAUUUUAA
Long non-coding RNA from Drosophila suzukii, 2068 nucleotides. RefSeq lists it as uncharacterized. The record is from RefSeq and is a predicted model, not a curated record. NCBI's taxonomy places the organism in Eukaryota, Metazoa, Arthropoda, Insecta, Diptera, Drosophilidae.